GGGCCCGCACAAGCGGUGGAGCAUGUGGUUUAAUUCGAUGCAACGCGAAGAACCUUACCAGGGCUUGACAUACUACGAAUUUUCUUGAAAAAGAAAAGUGCCUUAGGGAAUGUAGAUACAGGUGGUGCAUGGCUGUCGUCAGCUCGUGUCGUGAGAUGUUGGGUUAAGUCCCGCAACGAGCGCAACCCUUAUUUUUAGUUACCAAUUCGUUGGGUUCUCUAGAAAGACUGCCGGUGACAAACCGGAGGAAGGUGAGGAUGACGUCAAGUCAGCAUGCCCCUUAUGUCCUGGGCUACACACGUGCUACAAUGGUUAAGACAAAGAGUCGCGAGCUCGCAAGAGUGAGCUAAUCUCGUAAACUUAGCCUAAGUUCAGAUUGUAGGCUGCAACUCGCCUACAUGAAGUUGGAAUCGCUAG
RNAcentral lists this ribosomal RNA (417 nucleotides) under uncultured bacterium. Its description in RNAcentral is "bacterial SSU rRNA". It matches the Rfam family "Bacterial small subunit ribosomal RNA", at positions 917 to 1338 of the family's 1533-position model. The record is from RNAcentral.